CUACGGGCCGCUGCAGUGGGGAAUAUUGCACAAUGGGCGCAAGCCUGAUGCAGCCAUGCCGCGUGUAUGAAGAAGGCCUUCGGGUUGUAAAGUACUUUCAGCGGGGAGGAAGGGAGUAAAGUUAAUACCUUUGCUCAUUGACGUUACCCGCAGAAGAAGCACCGGCUAACUCCGUGCCAGCAGCCGCGGUAAUACGGAGGGUGCAAGCGUUAAUCGGAAUUACUGGGCGUAAAGCGCACGCAGGCGGUUUGUUAAGUCAGAUGUGAAAUCCCCGGGCUCAACCUGGGAACUGCAUCUGAUACUGGCAAGCUUGAGUCUCGUAGAGGGGGGUAGAAUUCCAGGUGUAGCGGUGAAAUGCGUAGAGAUCUGGAGGAAUACCGGUGGCGAAGGCGGCCCCCUGGACGAAGACUGACGCUCGGGUGCGAAAGCGUGGGGAGCAAACAGGAUUAGAUACCCCCGUAGUC
RNAcentral lists this ribosomal RNA (464 nucleotides) under uncultured bacterium. Its description in RNAcentral is "partial 16S ribosomal RNA". It matches the Rfam family "Bacterial small subunit ribosomal RNA", at positions 339 to 795 of the family's 1533-position model. The record is from RNAcentral.